GACAGAGGGUGCAAACGUUGUUCGGAAUUACUGGGCGUAAAGGGCGCGUAGGCGGCGCACCAAGUCAGGCGUGAAAGCCCUGGGCUUAACCCAGGAAUUGCGUUUGAGACUGGCGUGCUGGAGUGCAGGAGAGGUCGGCGGAAUUCCCAGUGUAGAGGUGAAAUUCGUAGAGAUUGGGAAGAACACCGGUGGCGCAGGCGGCCGACUGGACUGUAACUGACGCUGAGGCGCGAAAGCGUGGGGAGCAAACAGG
RNAcentral lists this ribosomal RNA (253 nucleotides) under uncultured bacterium. RNAcentral's name for it is "partial 16S ribosomal RNA". It matches the Rfam family "Bacterial small subunit ribosomal RNA", at positions 524 to 776 of the family's 1533-position model. The record is from RNAcentral.